CCGUUUCCGGAUUGAAGUUAWYGYGAAGAACCUUACCAUCCUUUGACAUGGCGUGUUACCCAGAGAGAUUUGGGGUCCACUUCGGUGGCGCGCACACAGGUGCUGCAUGGCUGUCGUCAGCUCGUGUCGUGAGAUGUUGGGUUAAGUCCCGCAACGAGCGCAACCCACGUCCUUAGUUGCCAUCAUUCAGUUGGGCACUCUAGGGAGACUGCCGGUGAUAAGCCGCGAGGAAGGUGUGGAUGACGUCAAGUCCUCAUGGCCCUUACGGGAUGGGCUACACACGUGCUACAAUGGCGGUGACAGUGGGACGCGAAGGAGCGAUCUGGAG
RNAcentral lists this ribosomal RNA (328 nucleotides) under Methylobacterium sp. RNAcentral's name for it is "bacterial SSU rRNA". It matches the Rfam family "Bacterial small subunit ribosomal RNA", at positions 942 to 1267 of the family's 1533-position model. Lineage: Bacteria; Pseudomonadati; Pseudomonadota; Alphaproteobacteria; Hyphomicrobiales; Methylobacteriaceae. The record is from RNAcentral.